RNAcentral lists this ribosomal RNA (435 nucleotides) under uncultured bacterium. Its description in RNAcentral is "bacterial SSU rRNA". It matches the Rfam family "Bacterial small subunit ribosomal RNA", at positions 958 to 1397 of the family's 1533-position model. The record is from RNAcentral.
AACGCGAAGAACCUUACCUACCCUUGACAUGGUCGGAAUCCUGCUGAGAGGCGGGAGUGCUCGAAAGAGAACCGGCGCACAGGUGCUGCAUGGCUGUCGUCAGCUCGUGUCGUGAGAUGUUGGGUUAAGUCCCGCAACGAGCGCAACCCUUGUCAUUAGUUGCUACGAAAGGGCACUCUAAUGAGACUGCCGGUGACAAACCGGAGGAAGGUGGGGAUGACGUCAAGUCCUCAUGGCCCUUAUGGGUAGGGCUUCACACGUCAUACAAUGGUACAUACAGAGGGUUGCCAACCCGCGAGGGGGAGCUAAUCCCAGAAAGUGUAUCGUAGUCCGGAUUGGAGUCUGCAACUCGACUCCAUGAAGUUGGAAUCGCUAGUAAUCGCGGAUCAGCAUGUCGCGGUGAAUACGUUCCCGGGCCUUGUACACACCGCAUAC